RNAcentral lists this ribosomal RNA (462 nucleotides) under uncultured bacterium. Its description in RNAcentral is "partial 16S ribosomal RNA". It matches the Rfam family "Bacterial small subunit ribosomal RNA", at positions 339 to 795 of the family's 1533-position model. The record is from RNAcentral.
CUACGGGUUGCUCCAGUGGGGAAUAUUGCACAAUGGGCGCAAGCCUGAUGCAGCGACGCCGCGUGGAGGAUGAAGGCUUUCGAGUUGUAAACUCCUGUUAAGUGGGAAGAAAGACUGCUGGUGAAUAAUUAGCAGGGAUGACGGUACCACUAGAGAAAGCACCGGCAAAAUUCGUGCCAGCAGCCGCGGUAAUACGAAGGGUGCAAGCGUUAUUCGGAGUUACUGGGCGUAAAGAGUAUGUAGGCGGUUUAUAAGUUAGUUGUUAAAUUCCACGGCUUAACUGUGGGUGUGCGGCUAAACUGGUAGGCUAGAGCGCAGAAGAGAGGAGUGGAAUUCCCGGAGUAGCGGUAAAAUGCGUAGAUCUCGGGAGGAACACCGGUUGCGAAGGCGGCUUCUUGGUCUGUGGCUGACGCUAAAGUACGAAAGCGUGGGGAGCAAACAGGAUUAGAUACCCUAGUAGUC